Molecule: non-coding RNA, 413 nt
Organism: Lactuca sativa (garden lettuce)
Lineage: Eukaryota; Viridiplantae; Streptophyta; Magnoliopsida; Asterales; Asteraceae
Source: RefSeq, a predicted model, not a curated record
CAAAAGCAGGGGAUGAUGAGCUACCUUUGUUUUGAGAGCGGAAGAAAUCAAAGGUAAAACAUGAAAGGGUUAAUCCUCAUUGCUUGAUUCAAAGGUGAUGAUGAGCUAUCUUUGUUUUGAGCUCGGAAGAAAUCAAAGGUAAAACAUGAAAGGGUUAAUCCUCAUUGCUUGAUUCAAAGGGGAUGAUGAGCUAUCUUUGUUUUGAGCUUGGAAGAAAUCAAAGGUAAAACAUGAAAGGGUUAAUCCUCAUUGGUUGAUUCAAAGGGUUUUUGAAAUAAAAGUAGUUACGAGCCUUUAGGAGUUUGAAUUACAUGCACAUGCAAUAUUUCAAGGUCAGUAACUAUGCUUCACUUCUAGAGAUUUGAUAUUUAGAUAUGUGGAUAUUAUUUUGUUAUGUUUAUGAUGAAUAUUGA